AUUGAACGCUGGCGGGAGGCUUAACACAUGCAAGUCGAGCGAGCGGCGGACGGGUGAGUAAUGUCGGGGAAACUGCCUGAUGGAGGGGGAUAACUACUGGAAACGGUAGCUAAUACCGCAUACCAUCAGAUGUGCCAAGAUGGGAUUAGCUAGUGGGUGGGGUAAUGGCUCACCUAGGCGACGAUCCCUAGCUGGUCUGAGAGGAUGACCAUCAACACUGGAACUGAGACACGGUCCAGACUCCUACGGGAGGCAGCAGUGGGGAAUAUUGCACAAUGGGCGCAAGCCUUAUGCAGCCAUGCCGCGUGUGUGAAGAAGGCCUUCGGGUUGUAAAGCACUGUCAGCGAGGAGGCUUUACUCUCUGAAGAAGCACCGGCUAACUCCGUGCCAGCAGCCGCGGUACUCC
Molecule: ribosomal RNA, 406 nt
Filed under: uncultured bacterium
Lineage: Bacteria
Description: partial 16S ribosomal RNA
Rfam family: Bacterial small subunit ribosomal RNA
Source: RNAcentral